AAUUAUCGUGUUUCAACAUUUGAAAUCAAGUUGUUAUAUUUAUAAAAAUUGUCUUGAAAAGGAUGAAUAUAUAUAUAUAUACACAUAAUUGUAGAGAACAUACAAAAAUAAACACCCUAGAACUUCAAAGGUUGUUGAUGGUAGAAGGCAACAUUCAGUUUUGGGAAGAUUUCUUGGGAGUUUUUUCUCGGAUACUCAUGUGUCCUUCUUGAACCUGUUGGUGAAUUAUGGAAAAAAUAGUGAGUUGGUACAUAUAUUUUCAUUUAUGGACUGAUUUGUAUUUGUAUCUUUUUUCACAAAUGGAACUUUAUGUAAAGAUACAAGAAGAACUUUAAGCAGAAUCAUAAGUGCAGGUUUUGACUCACCAUUAUCAUAACAAUUGUUUUAUAGAUUAUUGUUAAGUCUUAACAAAGUAGAACAUGACAUACAUGAUGCCUGUGAAGUUUGUUGUGUCCUAGAAUUAGAGCAUUAGACUAGAAAUAGUAUGGUAUGCACAUUGGACAUGAAGCGUCUGUUCGGCAUACAAUAUAGUGAGAUUACUAAUUAGAAAUAGCAGCUAGGCAAGGCGUAAUGCCUUAAAUCAAGUAUUCUCUUUAGGCCCAUUGAGAACGAAAGUCACUUUCUUCAAAGUAAAGCAGUAGAACUCUGUCUAAACUUGUGUUUCCUUAAUUAAAAAAAUUGUAUGGUGACCAGAAUCACUAAAAAUUUUGAAAAUUUAUGGUAACCAAACACUCACCUGAGUUUCCUUCAAGCGAUCACCUGUACAACCACUUUUAGCAAGACGAUCGCUGCAGCAAAAUCAAUCAAGUUAAUGACUCUUUGGCCAGGUUGGUCUGUUUUCUUCAACCAAAAAAAUGGGAGCUAUACUUUCUCAGGAUUAGUUAUUUGGCAUGCAAAAUAUUUGUUUAAAAAGGGAUUGUCGCGAGUCUGAAAGAGAGCAUAAGGAACACUAUAUUUUGGUAGAUCUUGGUAUGAUAAUAGUGAAUGUUCCAUUCUACCUCAUUAGAUUUGGAUAUCUUUAAUGUAAAUACAAAAUGGCCUCUAGACGGUUGUUCAUUCAUAUGAGUCUUACCCACAGGUCCAUUUAAAUGCAGAUAACAUUAUCAUAUUCAAUACAGAUAUGCAGUUAUAGGGAUAUAUGUUGAAUUAGAAAGCCACUAUCAACAGAGCAUUUACACAAUCAACUUUGUGUUUGUUGUAUACAUAUAAUAAAUAUUUAAGCUUUAUUAGGACAGUAGGACCUAGGUCACCAACUGAAUAGGCUUCACUUUUGAGAACUUGAUUAUGCGGGUAUUUUGUACAGAAUUUGACAGCUACUCUUCCUAAGUAAAGCAAUGGUAUGACCGUAUGAGGUUGUGAAAUGUUAAAGAGAGGUUCUAUAAAUACUUGGCAUAAUGGUAUUCCUCGUAGGCAGUCUAAUUCAAGGAACAUAAAAGGCAUAUAUUGUGAUUACCUCCAUGACCAUCAAAAACAUCGAAGAACGUUGUCUCGCUACCAAGAUCUAGCAUUGUUGAAUGAUGUAUGGAUGUAUAGAUUGGUAAAUAUUAUGUCGUGGAACAAUUUUAAGAAAUAGUCUGACCGAUAAAAAUGGUAGGCAUCUUUAAAAAAUAACCAUGCUUGUAGUGUGAUGUUGAACGUACUAAAAUCAAUGUAUUAAACAUAUUAAAUGAGAUCAAAGGAUGAAAGGAAUAUGGAUUUAGUAUCAAAAGAGAGCUAAUGCCUGUAGUCUAUGACAAAUCAUUGGUUCACUCUUUACAGUGUGAUAUUGAACUUAUUAAAAUCAUUGUGUUAAACAGAUAGAAUGAGAUGAAAGGAAUAUGGUUUCAGUAUUGUUACAACUUGGUGCAAAAAUAAUAAUUGAUUUUUUGGAAGAUAAUUAGUGGUUGUUAGAUUCUUUCACUUAUUUUAAUGAGGGAGAUUUUUUCUGUCAUUUCUUAUAAAUAAAUACAAAAAGAUUUAUUGGGUUGCAUGUCAUUUCUUUUCCUAUACCUAUUUUUUUUGUAUUUAUAUGUGCAAAGAACAAAUUUAGUAUGUCAUUGAUCUGGAAAUACAUGGUAACCAAACACUCACCUAAGUUCACCUGUGGAGCCACUUUUAGCAAGACGCUUACUCCCUGCUGCUAAAUCAAUCAAGGACUACUUGGAUAUGUUGUCAUGUGUCGUGCAAUAAAAACAGAAUCCUUCUAGCCCCAGUGAACACCCUGUCCCUGAAGUAAUUGCGGCUUGGAUGGCUUUGACUGGGAGAGGGGGAAUCACGGCCAUGAAAUCAAUACCCUCCCUUUGAGAUGAUAAUGAUUGCUUUAUCUGUUCAAAGAUCUCAAAUAAUCCAUGCAUCAUACCCACAAAUUAACAAUAUCCUAUGCCAAAUAUCAGCAAGCCUCUACAGACGAAGCCAAGAAGCACCCUCAGCGGGAGUGCCUGCCCAUGUCCAUUUAUAUAUGACAUGUACCUGAAAAGGCCAGACAUGCACUUCUAAGACAUAGUAACAUACAUUUGGGAAGUUUCAAAUAAGAACAUUUGUGUAAAUAAAAAAUGCAUUCGAAGGAGCACUGUCGAAGCAGAGCAGCUACUAAUCUUGAACGGAAACCAGCUGUCAUAUCUUUGCAUGGUGUUGAGAAGAUUACCAAGCUAGAAAUUGUGUAAAUAAAAAAUGCAUUCGGAGGAGCACCGUCGAUGCAGAGCAGCUACUAAUCUUGAACGGAAACCGACUGUCAUAUCUUUGCAUGAUGUUGAGAAAGAUUAUCAAGCUAAAAUAGGAUUCAAAACAGAACUUCACUAUACCUGCAACAGCUUCAAUCCCUAGCUCCAGUUUUACGCUCCUAUUGGUUGCCGACUAUGGCAGGAACGCGCCGACGCGGGCCUCAGCGGAAGGGGCGAGGAGGCGGAGGGGGUGCAGGAGGCGGAGCUCGUCGCCACCACGGUAAAGAUGUCGCCAAGCUGGACGGCGAGGGUGGACCCGGCGGCCCAUGAGGUGGAGGCGGCAGAUGGAGAGUCGGGGCUACGGGGCAUGAGGCCGACGAGGUGGAGCACGGAGAAAGCCGAUCCACGACGCGAUGCUUCUAGGAGCAAUGGACAGCAGGCCGGUGGGUUCUUUUCCUCACCCGGUUCGUUCGCCAUCUGGAACCAUCGAGGCUAUUCCAGGAUUUGAGGAGUUUUUUCUCGGAUACUCAUGUGUCCUUCUUGAACCUGUUGGUGAAUUAUGGAAAAAAUAGUGAGUUGGUACAUAUAUUUUCAUUUAUGGACUGAUUUGUUUUUGAAUCUUUUUUUCACAAAUGGAACUUUAUGUAAAGAUACAAGAAGAACUUUAAGCAGAAUCAUAAGUGCAGGUUUUGACUCACCAUUAUCAUAACAAUUGUUUUAUAGAUUAUUGUUAAGUCUUAACAAAGUAGAACAUGACAUACAUGAUGCCUGUGAAGUUUGUUGUGUCCUAGAAUUAGAGCAUUAGACUGGAAAUAGUAUGGUAUGCACAUUGGACAUGAAGCGUCUGUUCGGCAUACAAUAUAGUGAGAUUACUAAUUAGAAAUAGCAGCUAGGCAAGGCGUAAUGCCUUAAAUCAAGUAUUCUCUUUAGGCCCAUUGAGAACGAAAGUCACUUUCUUCAAAGUAAAGCAGUAGAACUCUGUCUAAACUUGUGUUUCCUUAAUUAAAAAAAUUGUAUGGUGACCAGAAUCACUAAAAAAUUUGAAAAUUUAUGGUAACCAAACACUCACCUGAGUUUCCUUCAAGCGAUCACCUGUACAACCACUUUUAGCAAGACGAUCGCUGCAGCAAAAUCAAUCAAGUUAAUGACUCUUUGGCCAGGUUGGUCUGUUUUCUUCAACCAAAAAAAUGGGAGCUAUACUUUCUCAGGAUUAGUUAUUUGGCAUGCAAAAUAUUUGUUUAAAAAGGGAUUGUCGCGAGUCUGAAAGAGAGCAUAAGGAACACUAUAUUUUGGUAGAUCUUGGUAUGAUAAUAGUGAAUGUUCCAUUCUACCUCAUUAGAUUUGGAUAUCUUUAAUGUAAAUACAAAAUGGCCUCUAGACGGCUGUUCAUUCAUAUGAGUCUUACCCACAGGUCCAUUUAAAUGCAGAUAACAUUAUCAUAUUCAAUACAGAUAUGCAGUUAUAGGGAUAUAUGUUGAAUUAGAAAGCCACUAUCAACAGAGCAUUUACACAAUCAACUUUGUGUUUGUUGUAUACAUAUAAUAAAUAUUUAAGCUUUAUUAGGAUAGUAGGACCUAGGUCACCAACAGAAUAGGCUUCACUUUUGAGAACUUGAUUAUGCGGGUAUUUUGUACAGAAUUUGACAGCUACUCUUCCUAAGUAAAGCAAUGGUAUGACCGUAUGAGGUUGUGAAAUGUUAAAGAGAGGUUCUAUAAAUACUUGGCAUAAUGGUAUUCCUCGUAGGCAGUCUAAUUCAAGGAACAUAAAAGGCAUAUAUUGUGAUUACCUCCAUGACCAUCAAAAACAUCGAAGAACGUUGUCUCGCUACCAAGAUCUAGCAUUGUUGAAUGAUGUAUGGAUGUAUAGAUUGGUAAAUAUUAUGUCGUGGAACAAUUUUAAGAAAUAGUCUGACCGAUAAAAAUGGUAGGCAUCUUUAAAAAAUAACCAUGCUUGUAGUGUGAUGUUGAACGUACUAAAAGCAAUGUAUUAAACAUAUUAAAUGAGAUCAAAGGAUGAAAGGAAUAUGGAUUUAGUAUCAAAAGAGAGCUAAUGCCUGUAGUCUAUGACAAAUCAUUGGUUCACUCUUUACAGUGUGAUAUUGAACUUAUUAAAAUCAUUGUGUUAAACAAAUAAAAUGAGAUGAAAGGAAUAUGGUUUCAGUAUUGUUACAACUUGGUGCAAAAAUAAUAAUUGAUUUUUUGGAAGAUAAUUAGUGGUUGUUAGAUUCUUUCACUUAUUUUAAUGAGGGAGAUUUUUUCUGUCAUUUCUUAUAAAUAAAUACAAAAAGAUUUAUUGGGUUGCAUGUCAUUUCUUUUCCUAUACCUAUUUUUUUGUAUUUAUAUGCGCAAAGAACAAUUUUAGUAUGUCAUUGAUCUGGAAAUACAUGGUAACCAAACACUCACCUAAGUUCACCUGUGGAGCCACUUUUAGCAAGACGCUUACUCCCUGCUGCUAAAUCAAUCAAGGACUACUUGGAUAUGUUGUCAUGUGUCGUGCAAUAAAAACAGAAUCCUUCUAGCCCCAGUAAACACCCUGUCCCUGAAGUAAUUGCGGCAUGGAUGGCUUUGA
Molecule: long non-coding RNA, 5207 nt
Filed under: Zea mays
Lineage: Eukaryota; Viridiplantae; Streptophyta; Magnoliopsida; Poales; Poaceae
Description: long non-coding RNA (ZMAY_LNC000702)
Source: RNAcentral